Molecule: ribosomal RNA, 900 nt
Filed under: Acinetobacter gyllenbergii
Lineage: Bacteria; Pseudomonadati; Pseudomonadota; Gammaproteobacteria; Moraxellales; Moraxellaceae
Description: bacterial SSU rRNA
Rfam family: Bacterial small subunit ribosomal RNA
Source: RNAcentral
CUGACCUAGCGGCGGACGGGUGAGUAAUGCUUAGGAAUCUGCCAUUUAGUGGGGGACAACAUUCCGAAAGGAAUGCUAAUACCGCAUACGUCCUACGGGAGAAAGCAGGGGAUCUUCGGACCUUGCGCUAAAUGAUGAGCCUAAGUCGGAUUAGCUAGUUGGUGGGGUAAAGGCCUACCAAGGCGACGAUCUGUAGCGGGUCUGAGAGGAUGAUCCGCCACACUGGGACUGAGACACGGCCCAGACUCCUACGGGAGGCAGCAGUGGGGAAUAUUGGACAAUGGGCGGAAGCCUGAUCCAGCCAUGCCGCGUGUGUGAAGAAGGCCUUAUGGUUGUAAAGCACUUUAAGCGAGGAGGAGGCUACCAGUAUUAAUACUACUGGAUAGUGGACGUUACUCGCAGAAUAAGCACCGGCUAACUCUGUGCCAGCAGCCGCGGUAAUACAGAGGGUGCGAGCGUUAAUCGGAUUUACUGGGCGUAAAGCGUGCGUAGGCGGCUUUUUAAGUCGGAUGUGAAAUCCCCGAGCUUAACUUGGGAAUUGCAUUCGAUACUGGGAAGCUAGAGUAUGGGAGAGGAUGGUAGAAUUCCAGGUGUAGCGGUGAAAUGCGUAGAGAUCUGGAGGAAUACCGAUGGCGAAGGCAGCCAUCUGGCCUAAUACUGACGCUGAGGUACGAAAGCAUGGGGAGCAAACAGGAUUAGAUACCCUGGUAGUCCAUGCCGUAAACGAUGUCUACUAGCCGUUGGGGCCUUUGAGGCUUUAGUGGCGCAGCUAACGCGAUAAGUAGACCGCCUGGGGAGUACGGUCGCAAGACUAAAACUCAAAUGAAUUGACGGGGGCCCGCACAAGCGGUGGAGCAUGUGGUUUAAUUCGAUGCAACGCGAAGAACCUUACCUGGCCUU